RNAcentral lists this non-coding RNA (28 nucleotides) under Mus musculus (house mouse). The record is from RNAcentral. Lineage: Eukaryota; Metazoa; Chordata; Mammalia; Rodentia; Muridae.
UACCAUAGCAGGGAAAUUAUACCAAAUG